GUGAUAAACUUGACCAGCGCGCGCAUUGAUCUAGGAUACGCUUUAUCUUGGAAGUUACAGAAACUUCCAAAGAGCAGCCAGGGGACCGAGGAGCCCCGAGCUGGGCUCUCCGUUGCGCCUGGUAUACACAGUGCUGCCUCCGCUUCUCGGAGUUUAUGAUGUUUAUGAAGAUCCCCAACAGCUGGCUUCAAACCCAGCCCCUCCGAGAACCGUUUCCAGGACUCUGAAGCCCGCAUUUCAGCUUCAGGAACGGCGAGACAGCUGGCUGUCCGUGUCGGUUUGGGUGGAAUCGGUGUAGAGGUGGUGGUACCCAAACCAGCUCAGUGCCGGUGAUUUCCAACCAGCAUCUUUUGAAGGCACACUGUGUGCAUCGCCAUCAAGCGCUGAGCAACAGCAGCUGCGGAUGCUCGUCGGCGAGAGCUGGAGGAGGAUCAGCUCUAAGUUGUAAUCUCAGGGUGGACAUUGACAUCAUCCUCUUGGACGGGAGCAGGUAGAGGAGAUGCCUGCUUUCAUUCCUCUUGGACAAUGCUUAGGGGUGCAAUUGCUGGCCAUAUGGGUUUGACUUAUUCUUUCCCUAAGUCAAUCUUGGCCAGUGAUAUUGGGGCAGAGCAGAGAUAGCAGCAGUAGGAUUGUGUGAGCCGCCAGGCCUGAAGCCCGCAGCAUUUUACCUGUGCAACGCGAAAGGCUGAGCCUGGAUGGAGAAGAGAAGGAGGCGCCGCUCUGCGGAAUGCUCUCCGCGGCGCAUGCUCGGCGAGAUUUCGUGCCGGAGAACACAAACUACUCCGUUAAUUAAAUAGCAAAGGUCGAUGGAGCACCAUGGACAUUCUCUGAAGGCUGCUAGCCAGGAGACUCAAGAAGAAAUUGUUAAAAAGGAGAACUAUCCAAACAUUGUCCUCUCCCUUUGCAGCCUCAACAGGAAAGAAAACUCAUAGAUGAGUCAGAAAUGCUCAGUGGAUAAUGGACCUCUUCCCUCACUCCACGUGCUCGGGUUGCGGCAACUUCAGGGGGCCGGCCUAUGUGUGGGCGAAUGAGGAGGAGGAGUCUAACCAGGACCAGAAGGUAGAGACCUCGAGAAGCCAAGCACUGUGAAAAACUAGGUCCCCGUCACUAUGCUCAUGACAAAGCCACUUCGCAGGGGAAAGGAGGAUGUGGAUGAUGUUGGAUGUUCUUCUUCCCCAAUCAGAAAGGUUCACAGCAGCUAAAGAGGAGGACACUGGUGGGAAAGGUUGAUGCUACUCUUACACUUUAAUGAGCUAUGUACAUGCCCACUAAGCUAAGGCCUUUGAAGAUAAAGGGAACGUUGGAUGUUCUUUUGUUUUGCAACACCCAUGUAAUGCCCAGGACAUCCUAAGUGGACAGUGGAUGUAAGAUGAACAACAGGUUAUAUGAGUUAUUACCAAUACACCUACCUGCUUGAAAUACAUGUUGGAAAGUGUUAAGAAAAAUGACAUUGUCUUGUUUCUUUAAAAAAUAUUGAAAUAGACAUAACACUGUUUAAUCCGAAAAAGAAGAUGGCAAUAAAUAUAGAAACAAGUCAUCGGGAGGAACAACCACGUGUAUUAAGAAGAUAUGGGGAUCCCUUUGCCUCAUCUUAUGGAAAUACAUUUGAAAUCUUGACUACCAAGCAUAAUACUCUAGAAAAUAUCUAUAAUGCAACAAAAGAGGCUAAGAAACUUAUCAAAAGCUAUCUGAAGGAAACAUCAACAUCACUUUAUUUCAGAAGUAAGUUUUAUGAACUAUCUACGGAAUGCAAUUUAAAUUUUUUGAAAGCAUAAGGAAUGUGAACGUUUCUAAGGGGUUUUUACAAAUACAGAACAUUAGUACCAAACUUAAUAAAGGCAACACAAUAAAAUGAAACUACAGAUGGAUUUCUCUAACAGAUAUUGAUGCAAAAUCCCUAAAAUGUGUUAGCAGAUAGAAUUCAGCAGCUUAUUAAAAGAUUGAGAGAUACUAUUCAGGAGUAAUCCAUUGAAAAAAUUCAAAAUUUCAGUGUGUUUUUCCAUAUUAAUUACAGGUCAAGGCAGAGAAGCAUUAUGUUUGACGAUGUUGACAAGGUGCUUGAAAAAAGCCAGUAUCAUUCUUGAAAAACAAGUUUGAUAAAUAUGGAUGCAUUGAUAUUUAAUUAGCAACAUGGCAAUAGUGAAAUACAAAAAUGUUCCUAUUAAGAAAUAGAACAAGGAGUUCCUGUUGUGGUGCAGUGGAAACAAAUCCAACUAGGAACCAUGAGGUUGAGGAGGGUUCGAUCCCUGGCCUCGCUCAGUGGGUUAAGGAUCCUGCAUUGCCCUGAGCUAUGGUGUAGGUCAUGGAUUCAGCCCAGAUCUGGCAUGGCUGUGGCCAUGGCAUAGGCUGGUGGCUGUAGCUAUGAUUGGACCCCUAGCCUGGGAACCCCCAUAUGCUGAAGAUGUGGGCCUAAAAAGCAACAAAAAAAA
Molecule: long non-coding RNA, 2429 nt
Filed under: Sus scrofa (pig)
Lineage: Eukaryota; Metazoa; Chordata; Mammalia; Artiodactyla; Suidae
Description: lncRNA (ENSSSCG00065054147.1)
Source: RNAcentral